This 495-nucleotide ribosomal RNA is filed under the name uncultured bacterium. RNAcentral describes it as "partial 16S ribosomal RNA". It matches the Rfam family "Bacterial small subunit ribosomal RNA", at positions 28 to 507 of the family's 1533-position model. The record is from RNAcentral.
GACGAACGCUGGCGGCGUGCCUAAUACAUGCAAGUAGAACGCUGAAGGAGGAGCUUGCUUCUCUGGAUGAGUUGCGAACGGGUGAGUAACGCGUAGGUAACCUGCCUGGUAGCGGGGGAUAACUAUUGGAAACGAUAGCCAAUACCGCAUAAGAGUAGAUGUUGCAUGACAUUUGCUUAAAAGGUGCAAUUGCAUCACUACCAGAUGGACCUGCGUUGUAUUAGCUAGUUGGUGAGGUAACGGCUCACCAAGGCGACGAUACAUAGCCGACCUGAGAGGGUGAUCGGCCACACUGGGACUGAGACACGGCCCAGACUCCUACGGGAGGCAGCAGGAGGGAAUCUUCGGCAAUGGACGGAAGUCUGACCGAGCAACGCCGCGGGAGGGAAGAAGGGUUUCGGAUCGUAAAGCUCGGUUGUAAGAGAAGAACGAGUGUGAGAGUGGAAAGUUCACACUGUGACGGUAUCUUAACAGAAAGGGACGGCUAACUACGUG